RNAcentral lists this microRNA (21 nucleotides) under Pteropus alecto (black flying fox). RNAcentral's name for it is "pal-miR-151-5p". Its record names the gene pal-miR-151-5p. RNAcentral also lists the same sequence under 17 other names. Lineage: Eukaryota; Metazoa; Chordata; Mammalia; Chiroptera; Pteropodidae. The record is from miRBase by way of RNAcentral.
UCGAGGAGCUCACAGUCUAGU